GACGAACGCUGGCGGCGUGCCUAAUACAUGCAAGUAGAACGCUGAAGAGAGGAGCUUGCUCUUCUUGGAUGAGUUGCGAACGGGUGAGUAACGCGUAGGUAACCUGCCUGGUAGCGGGGGAUAACUAUUGGAAACGAUAGCUAAUACCGCAUAAAAUUGAUUAUUGCAUGAUAAUUAAUUGAAAGAUGCAAUUGCAUCACUACCAGAUGGACCUGCGUUGUAUUAGCUAGUUGGUGAGGUAACGGCUCACCAAGGCGACGAUACAUAGCCGACCUGAGAGGGUGAUCGGCCACACUGGGACUGGGACACGGCCCAGACUCCUACGGGAGGCAGCAGUAGGGAAUCUUCGGCAAUGGGGGGAACCCUGACCGAGCAACGCCGCGUGAGUGAAGAAGGUUUUCGGAUCGUAAAGCUCUGUUGUAAGAGAAGAACGGGUGUGAGAGUGGAAAGUUCACACUGUGACGGUAUCUUACCAGAAAGGGACGGCUAACUACGUGCCAGCAGCCGCGGUAAUACGUAGGUCCCGAGCGUUGUCCGGAUUUGUUGGGCGUAAAGCGAGCGCAGGCGGUUAGAUAAGUCUGAAGUUAAAGGCUGUGGCUUAACCAUAGUAUGCUUUGGAAACUGUUUAACUUGAGUGCAGAAGGGGAGAGUGGAAUUCCAUGUGUAGCGGUGAAAUGCGUAGAUAUAUGGAGGAACACCGGUGGCGAAAGCGGCUCUCUGGUCUGUAACUGACGCUGAGGCUCGAAAGCGUGGGGAGCAAACAGGAUUAGAUACCCUGGUAGUCCACGCCGUAAACGAUGAGUGCUAGGUGUUAGGCCCUUUCCGGGGCUUAGUGCCGCAGCUAACGCAUUAAGCACUCCGCCUGGGGAGUACGACCGCAAGGUUGAAACUCAAAGGAAUUGACGGGGGCCCGCACAAGCGGUGGAGCAUGUGGUUUAAUUCGAAGCAACGCGAAGAACCUUACCAGGUCUUGACAUCCCUCUGACCGCUCUAGAGAUAGAGUUUUCCUUCGGGACAGAGGUGACAGGUGGUGCAUGGUUGUCGUCAGCUCGUGUCGUGAGAUGUUGGGUUAAGCCCCGCAACGAGCGCAACCCCUAUUGUUAGUUGCCAUCAUUCAGUUGGGCACUCUAGCGAGACUGCCGGUAAUAAACCGGAGGAAGGUGGGGAUGACGUCAAAUCAUCAUGCCCCUUAUGACCUGGGCUACACACGUGCUACAAUGGCUGGUACAACGAGUCGCAAGCCGGUGACGGCAAGCUAAUCUCUGAAAGCCAGUCUCAGUUCGGAUUGUAGGCUGCAACUCGCCUACAUGAAGUCGGAAUCGCUAGUAAUCGCGGAUCAGCACGCCGCGGUGAAUACGUUCCCGGGCCU
This 1369-nucleotide ribosomal RNA is filed under the name uncultured bacterium. Its description in RNAcentral is "bacterial SSU rRNA". It matches the Rfam family "Bacterial small subunit ribosomal RNA", at positions 28 to 1381 of the family's 1533-position model. The record is from RNAcentral.